GACGAACGCUGGCGGCGUGCUUAACACAUGCAAGUCGAACGGAAAGGCCCUGCUUUUGUGGGGUGCUCGAGUGGCGAACGGGUGAGUAACACGUGAGUAACCUGCCCUUGACUUUGGGAUAACUUCAGGAAACUGGGGCUAAUACCGGAUAGGAGCUCCUGCUGCAUGGUGGGGGUUGGAAAGUUUCGGCGGUUGGGGAUGGACUCGCGGCUUAUCAGCUUGUUGGUGGGGUAGUGGCUUACCAAGGCUUUGACGGGUAGCCGGCCUGAGAGGGUGACCGGCCACAUUGGGACUGAGAUACGGCCCAGACUCCUACGGGAGGCAGCAGUGGGGAAUAUUGCACAAUGGGCGGAAGACUGAUGCAGAAACGCCGCGUGCGGGAUGACGGCCUUCGGGUUGUAAACCGCUUUCGCCUGUGACGAAGCGUGAGUGACGGUAAUGGGUAAAGAAGCACCGGCUAACUACGUG
RNAcentral lists this ribosomal RNA (468 nucleotides) under uncultured bacterium. RNAcentral's name for it is "partial 16S ribosomal RNA". It matches the Rfam family "Bacterial small subunit ribosomal RNA", at positions 28 to 507 of the family's 1533-position model. The record is from RNAcentral.